AUGAAGGUGGCGAGGGCCACGGCGAGGAGGACAUCAAUGCCGUGGGCCUCACGGGAGCAAGAUCCGCGCUCGGCCUUGUCCCCGUCGAGUUCCCAUCGUCCGUGGCACAAGCUCUACUCGCGGCCAACCAUAACGGACACCGCUGUCUCUCCACGGAGUGCCACACCGUUGCCGACGCGGUGGGGCACGGCUGCACGGCCGGGGCGCUCGGGCUCCGCCCCUUCCUCGGCACACCCGCCCGCUUCCUCGUGGGCUCCAUCUCGGGCGCGACUGGUCUCCGAGGCAGAGUCAUGGUCGGCGCGCUCGACAUGGGAGAUGGAGACGGCGAGGGCGAGGAGGACGUCACGGAGGAGCUCAGGUUUCAGGAUGCUCAUCGACAUAUACAGGCCGUUCUCCACUUGA
RNAcentral lists this ribosomal RNA (402 nucleotides) under Triticum aestivum (bread wheat). Its description in RNAcentral is "partial small subunit ribosomal RNA". The record is from RNAcentral. Lineage: Eukaryota; Viridiplantae; Streptophyta; Magnoliopsida; Poales; Poaceae.